CCUACGGGAGGCUGCAGUCGAGAAUCAUUCACAAUGGGGGAAACCCUGAUGGUGCGACGCCGCGUGGGGGAAUGAAGGUCUUCGGAUUGUAAACCCCUGUCAUGUGGGAGCAAAUUAAAAAGAUAGUACCACAAGAGGAAGAGACGGCUAACUAUGUGCCAGCAGCCGCGGUAAUACAGAGGGCUCAAGCGGUGGUCGGAAUCACUGGGCGUAAAGUGUGCGUAGUCUGUUGCGUAAGGCGUGUGUGAAAGGCGCGGGCUGCACCCGCGGACGGCACAUGAUACUGCGAGACUAGAGUAAUGGAGGGGGAACCGGAAUUCGCGGUGUAGCAGUGAAAUGCGUCGAUAUCG
Molecule: ribosomal RNA, 350 nt
Filed under: uncultured bacterium
Lineage: Bacteria
Description: partial 16S ribosomal RNA
Rfam family: Bacterial small subunit ribosomal RNA
Source: RNAcentral